This 205-nucleotide long non-coding RNA is filed under the name Lathyrus oleraceus (garden pea). RNAcentral's name for it is "Pisum sativum (pea) long non-coding RNA (PSAT_LNC000310)". Lineage: Eukaryota; Viridiplantae; Streptophyta; Magnoliopsida; Fabales; Fabaceae. The record is from RNAcentral.
UUCUUUUUUUCUCUUUUUUUUUUUGAUAAUGCCCCAGUUGGCUGUUCUGCUGAUUCUCGAGAUGCAGCUGAGUGAUCUUCUUUUCUUGCUCAAGAAGUCGGGAAAUCUCGUCAGGAAUCCCUUCAACAUCAUCUUCGUCCGCUUCAAAUACAGGGAAUUCAAAAUUGGGAGAUGACGUCCGAUCAUUAUGUUCAAUGGGUUUGAG